GACGAACGCUGGCGGCGUGCUUAACACAUGCCAGUCGAACGGAAAGGCCCUGCUUUUGUGGGGUGCUCGAGUGGCGAACGGGUGAGUAACACGUGAGUAACCUGCCCUUGACUUUGGGAUAACUUCAGGAAACUGGGGCUAAUACCGGAUAGGAGCUCCUGCUGCAUGGUGGGGGUUGGAAAGUUUCGGCGGUUGGGGAUGGACUCGCGGCUUAUCAGCUUGUUGGUGGGGUAGUGGCUUACCAAGGCUUUGACGGGUAGCCGGCCUGAGAGGGUGACCGGCCACAGUGGGAAUGAGAAACGGCCCAGACUCCUACGGGAGGCAGCAGUGGGGAAUAUUGCAGAAUGGGCGGAAGCCUGAUGCAGCAACGCCGCGUGCGGGAUGACGGCCUUCGGGUUGUAAACCGCUUUCGCCUGUGACGAAGCGUGAGUGACGGUAAUGGGUAAAGAAGCACCGGCUAACUACGUG
Molecule: ribosomal RNA, 468 nt
Filed under: uncultured bacterium
Lineage: Bacteria
Description: partial 16S ribosomal RNA
Rfam family: Bacterial small subunit ribosomal RNA
Source: RNAcentral